RNAcentral lists this transfer RNA (78 nucleotides) under Pseudomonadota bacterium. RNAcentral's name for it is "Proteobacteria bacterium tRNA-Val". It matches the Rfam family "tRNA". From Rfam's summary of the family: Transfer RNA (tRNA) molecules are approximately 80 nucleotides in length. Their secondary structure includes four short double-helical elements and three loops (D, anti-codon, and T loops). Further hydrogen bonds mediate the characteristic L-shaped molecular structure. tRNAs have two regions of fundamental functional importance: the anti-codon, which is responsible for specific mRNA codon recognition, and the 3' end, to which the tRNAs corresponding amino acid is attached (by aminoacyl-tRNA synthetases). tRNAs cope with the degeneracy of the genetic code in two manners: having more than one tRNA (with a specific anti-codon) for a particular amino acid; and 'wobble' base-pairing, i.e. permitting non-standard base-pairing at the 3rd anti-codon position. The record is from RNAcentral. RNAcentral also lists the same sequence under 3 other names. Lineage: Bacteria; Pseudomonadati; Pseudomonadota.
GGUCGCUUAGCUCAGUCUGGUUAGAGUACUACCUUGACAUGGUAGGGGUCACUGGUUCGAGUCCAGUAGCGACCACCA